GGGUGAUCGUGGACCGUCUGAC
This 22-nucleotide non-coding RNA is filed under the name Arabidopsis thaliana (thale cress). The record is from RNAcentral. Lineage: Eukaryota; Viridiplantae; Streptophyta; Magnoliopsida; Brassicales; Brassicaceae.